RNAcentral lists this ribosomal RNA (460 nucleotides) under uncultured bacterium. RNAcentral describes it as "partial 16S ribosomal RNA". It matches the Rfam family "Bacterial small subunit ribosomal RNA", at positions 338 to 795 of the family's 1533-position model. The record is from RNAcentral.
CCUACGGGUGGCAGCAGUGAGGAAUAUUGGUCAAUGGGCGCGAGCCUGAACCAGCCAAGUAGCGUGAAGGAUGACUGCCCUACGGGUUGUAAACUUCUUUUAUAAAGGAAUAAAAUGAGGCACGUGUGCCUUUUUGUAUGUACUUUAUGAAUAAGGAUCGGCUAACUCCGUGCCAGCAGCCGCGGUAAUACGGAGGAUUCAAGCGUUAUCCGGAUUUAUUGGGUUUAAAGGGAGCGUAGAUGGGUUGUUAAGUUAGUGGUGAAAGCUUGAGGCUCAACUUUGAAAUUGCAUUUGAUACUGGCCGGCUAGAGAGUAGUUGCGGUAGACGGAAUUCAUGGUGUAGCGGUGAAAUGCUUAGAUAUCACACAGAACACCGAUUGCGAAGGCAGCUUACCAAGCUGCUACUGACAUUGAGGCACGAAAGUGUGGGUAUCAAACAGGAUUAGAUACCCCAGUAGUC